GGGGAGUUGAAGGACAUGACUCAUAUCCCAGGGCUUUGUAUUUUGGGAGGCUUGUUCCAUGUUGGGAGCAGCCAAUGUCCCACACGCCAGGCAGCCUCUUCCUUCCCUCACCCACACAUCUGAACUAGCUUUCCUGUUGUCAAGGCAACACUCAGACUGCUGAUGGUGAGUUGGCUUUGUCAGUGUCCAGCUACCUAAAGACAUGCCUCCUGGGGACCUGCAAUACCUGCUCGACCCGUUGCUCCCUGCAGAGGCAGAGCUGAUUUCAUCACUGUGGGUUGCACAGAUUAAAGGGAACACGGGCUCUGCUGUGGUUUCUUUUGCAGUGUGGACACGCUGCCCAGGUCAGGGGCUGCUCUUGGUUCCAGCUCUACAGCCCUAUGAUGACAGCCCCAAGCAAUGCUUCGCGCCAGCCUUGUGAGUCACAGCCGUCUGCACUGGAGUUAGUCUGGGGGUGUUUUAGGAACUCAGCUGCUGGAGUAUAGGGACAAGAGGCUGAAAUAGAAAGACCAUUGAAUGAAGCCUUCAUUCAGAAGCACACCUUUGGCUCUGCCCCUCUUGCCAAGGUGGAGUGAUGGAUUUCAUCAGGGAGAGGACCUGAUCUUUGGCAGAUAAAACACAGGCUGAAUCCUUGGCAGGAGCAGCCACGUUGGUGAUGGAACGAAGGUUGUAUUUGAAAGUAAUUCCUAAGCCCUGUGUUUCUGAUGGAUAAAUUCUGUGUCUUAACUGCAAACAGAGAGGAAAAGGCUGUGGUUGUGUCACAGUCAUGCUUGUUUCAGUUGCUCAACUGCCCUGAAAGACAACUUCUUUAUCAGCUUCAAGUAUUUCCCUGCUCUAUUUGCCUCAGCUGGAGUCUGCGAUGUGGCUACCCUGCAGUAUUGCCAUUGUGGGUGUUUCAGGUGAAUACACUUGGAAUAGAGCAGGCAGAUGAAGAUAAAACAGCUGCUUUGAGGUGAAAAUGAGAGCGUUCACGUUACACCCACCUCUUGAAUUUGUACCUGACUAUUCACAUUGAAAAGCUGAUUCUAAGAACUCAGCAUGUCCCGUCAGGAGCAGAAUAAUACCACAGAAACCCUGGCCAGCCUGAGUCUGAGUGAAUAUUGGGAAUUGUGAUUAACUUCUGAGGAAUGUAUCCGGAGCAAGUCAUGUUUUCUGGGCAUUUGUAGGUAAUAAUUUCAGCCCUUGGAUCUGUGAGUGAAGGUUGUCACCAGUUCUCACACAAAUAGAUGUGAAAGGCAUCAGAUAAAUACUGGCUUCUGACCUGUUCACUCGUGUGUAACGUGCUCAAGUGGCUGUGUUGACUGCAUAGGAGGAGCGAGCUGCAAAGGGAGCAACCAGAUCCCUCUAUGAACAUCUACAUUUGUGAGUGAGUGAUCCCAUUUCUUGGCUGGAAAAAGGCACUGAAGAACACUUUGUGUUGGGAAGCGCCACACAGAAGGAUGAGCUUUCUGGUCCACGUAACCUCAUGGAAGUAUUAGGCAUGAACAGUCUGUUUGCUCAACCAAAUAACUUGAGCGGCAAACUUGCACAAGGAUUAUGGGAUUGGAGAUGUCCCACAGCACAGCAGGGUUUGUAUUUAUCCAACCCACUUCAACAGGCCACAUUCCCAGGUUUUGGGGAGCAAAUUAAGCUGCCUUUAAAACAGGCUUCCCUCCUCUUGGUGCUACCCCACCAUAGAGCCCUGGGUCACUCCUGUACUGACCACAGGGAUGGGGCACUGGACUGAGGACCAGUUUGGCCCAGCCUGCCGUAAGUGCUGGCAAUGCACAAUGUGAUGCUGGGCAAUGCAUUAUGUGAUGCUGCUUCCCUCCCUCAGGGGCACCUCUCCUCCUUGUCUACCAGCAAUAGCAAUCCCAUGGCUGUUUCAACAGGACUGAUGGAAAACCAUACUUCUUUCUUUAUUUCCGUGGGUUGCUUUCCCUUCAAAUGAGCUGUCUGGACUGAUGCAGCCCCAUGGCUCCCUGGCUACAGAGGAACUGGGGAAGAAAAGCAGGGGAGCAAGAGAAAAGCAAAGCAGAGGAGGGAGAGAAAAGCAGGAGCACUGUUUUUGAGGCUGCAACACUAAAUUAGGAGAAACAACAAGCUGCACCUUGAGCCUCAGAAAAUCCAGCUGCGAUGCUGAGCUUUGCCUCUGGCUCAGCACUAAGACAGGGCUACCAAUAAAUCCCUUCUCCCACCUUCUGCAUGUCCUGAUUAGAUAGACUGUGACAGACGGGGGCUGUCACUUAUUAUGUGCUUGUUCAGUGCCUGGUACAAUGCAGCUCUGAUCUCAGCUCACACCCGUGCCUGCUGCAUGAACAAUAGCACUGAAAUGAGUCUAAUGGCUGGCAGUGGGGAGGUCACCAGCUGCCUGAUGUCUGCCUCCCCACCAGGAACCACUGCAUCCCAACUGGAAAAGGAGGAAUUUCCAGGCUCCAUCCCUGACACACUUGGGAAUUGCCCCUCAUUAGCUCAGCAGCUAGUUCAGGAGCCCACAUGGUUAUUUCCUUGGUGGAAGUGUAACUAAUAAGUGAAAUUAAUGUGUUGAUGUUAAUUUAA
Long non-coding RNA from Pezoporus occidentalis (night parrot), 2538 nucleotides. RefSeq lists it as uncharacterized. The record is from RefSeq and is a predicted model, not a curated record. The transcript is spliced from 3 exons. NCBI's taxonomy places the organism in Eukaryota, Metazoa, Chordata, Aves, Psittaciformes, Psittacidae.